AGAGUUUGAUCCUGGCUCAGGAUGAACGCUAGCGGGAGGCCUAACACAUGCAAGCCGAGCGGUAGGGAUUCUUCGGAAUCUUGAGAGCGGCGUACGGGUGCGGAACACGUGUGCAACCUACCUUUAUCUGGAGGAUAGCCUUUCGAAAGGAAGAUUAAUACUCCAUAAUAUAUUGAUUGGCAUCAAUUGAUAUUGAAAGCUCCGGCGGAUAGAGAUGGGCACGCGCAAGAUUAGUUAGUUGGUGAGGUAACGGCUCACCAAGACGAUGAUCUUUAGGGGCCUGAGAGGGUGAUCCCCCACACUGGUACUGAGACACGGACCAGACUCCUACGGGAGGCAGCAGUGAGGAAUAUUGGUCAAUGGGUGCAAGCCUGAACCAGCCAUCCCGCGUGAAGGACGACUGCCCUAUGGGUUGUAAACUUCUUUUGUAUAGGGAUAAACCUACCCUCGUGAGGGUAGCUGAAGGUACUAUACGAAUAAGCACCGGCUAACUCCGUG
Molecule: ribosomal RNA, 498 nt
Filed under: uncultured bacterium
Lineage: Bacteria
Description: bacterial SSU rRNA
Rfam family: Bacterial small subunit ribosomal RNA
Source: RNAcentral